AACUUUUAGGUUAAGUUAAUAAGGGCGCACGGUGAAUGCCUUGGCACUAGGAGCCGAAGAAGGACGGCACUAACACCGAUAUGCUUCGGGGAGCUGUAAGUGAGCUUUGAUCCGGAGAUUUCCGAAUGGGGAAACCCACUGUUCGUAAUGGAGCAGUACAUUUGCGUGAAUACAUAGCGCAUCUGUGGCACACCCAGGGAACUGAAACAUCUAAGUACCUGGAGGAAGAGAAAGAAAAAUCGAUUCCCUGAGUAGCGGCGAGCGAAACGGGAAUAGCCCAAACCAAGAGGCUUGCCUCUUGGGGUUGUAGGACACUCAACAUAGAGUUACAAAGGAAUGAGUUAGACGAAGCGAUCUGGAAAGGUCCGCAGGAUAGGGUAAAAGCCCCGUAGUCAAAAGUUCAUUCUCUCUUGAGUGUAUCCUGAGUACGGCGGAACACGUGAAAUUCCGUCGGAAUCCGGGAGGACCAUCUCCCAAGGCUAAAUACUCCCUAGUGACCGAUAGUGAACCAGUACCGUGAGGGAAAGGUGAAAAGCACCCCGGAAGGGGAGUGAAAUAGAUCCUGAAACCGUGUGCCUACAAGUAGUCAGAGCCCGUUAAUGGGUGAUGGCGUGCCUUUUGUAGAAUGAACCGGCGAGUUACGAUUACAUGCAAGGUUAAGUUGAGAAGACGGAGCCGCAGCGAAAGCGAGUCUGAAUAGGGCGAAUGAGUAUGUGGUCGUAGACCCGAAACCAGGUGAUCUACCCAUGUCCAGGAUGAAGGUAAGGUAACACUUACUGGAGGUCCGAACCCACGUACGUUGAAAAGUGCGGGGAUGAGGUGUGGGUAGCGGAGAAAUUCCAAUCGAACCUGGAGAUAGCUGGUUCUCUCCGAAAUAGCUUUAGGGCUAGCCUCAAACGUUAGAAUCUUGGAGGUAGAGCACUGUUUGGACUAGGGGCCCAUCCCGGGUUACCGAAUUCAGACAAACUCCGAAUGCCAAUGAUUUAUGUUUGGGAGUCAGACUGCGAGUGAUAAGAUCCGUAGUCAAGAGGGAAACAGCCCAGACCACCAGCUAAGGUCCCCAAGUAUUUGUUAAGUGGAAAAGGAUGUGGCGUUGCUUAGACAACCAGGAUGUUGGCUUANNNNNNNNNNACCAGUCCUUACGGUCUGACUUCAACGCCCUUAGAACGCUCUCCUACCACUGAUACCUUUGGUAUCAGUGGUAGGAGAGCGUUCUAAGGGCGUUGAAGUCAGACCGUAAGGACUGGUGGAGCGCUUAGAAGUGAGAAUGCCGGUAUGAGUAGCGAAAGACGGGUGAGAAUCCCGUCCACCGUAUGACUAAGGUUUCCUGAGGAAGGCUCGUCCGCUCAGGGUUAGUCGGGACCUAAGUCGAGGCCGAUAGGCGUAGACGAUGGACAACAGGUUGAUAUUCCUGUACCACCAAACCACCGUUUGAGUAAUGGGGGGACGCAGGAGGAUAGGGUAAGCGUGCUGUUGGUUAUGCACGUCCAAGCAGUAAGGCGUGAAUGUAGGCAAAUCCGCAUUCUAUAACGUUGAGCUGUGAUGGCGAGCUCGUAUGAGCGAAGUUCCUGAUUUCACACUGCCAAGAAAAGCCUCUAACGAGGUGAUAGGUGCCCGUACCGCAAACCGACACAGGUAGUCGAGGAGAGAAUCCUAAGGUGAGCGAGAGAACUCUCGUUAAGGAACUCGGCAAAAUGACCCCGUAACUUCGGGAGAAGGGGUGCUCUUUAGGGUGAAUAGCCCUGAAGAGCCGCAGUNGGAAGGUUAAGAGGAGUGCUUAGCGCAAGCGAAGGUGCGAAUUGAAGCCCCAGUAAACGGCGGCCGUAACUAUAACGGUCCUAAGGUAGCGAAAUUCCUUGUCGGGUAAGUUCCGACCCGCACGAAAGGCGUAACGAUCUGGGCACUGUCUCAACGAGAGACUCGGUGAAAUUAUAGUACCUGUGAAGAUGCAGGUUACCCGCGACAGGACGGAAAGACCCCGUGGAGCUUUACUAUAGCUUGAUAUUGAAUUUUGGUGCAACUUGUACAGGAUAGGCAGGAGCCUUAGAGCCCGGAGCGCCAGCUUCGGAGGAGGCGUCGGUGGGAUACUGCCCUGGUUGUAUUGAAAUUCUAACCCAUACCCGUAACCCGGGUAGGAGACAGUGUCAGGCGGGUAGUUUGACUGGGGCGGUCGCCUCCUAAAGUGUAACGGAGGCGCCCAAAGGUUCCCUCAGAAUGGUUGGAAAUCAUUCGAAGAGUGUAAAGGCAGAAGGGAGCUUGACUGCGAGACCUACAAGUCGAGCAGGGUCGAAAGACGGGCUUAGUGAUCCGGUGGUUCCGCAUGGAAGGGCCAUCGCUCAACGGAUAAAAGCUACCCCGGGGAUAACAGGCUUAUCUCCCCCAAGAGUCCACAUCGACGGGGAGGUUUGGCACCUCGAUGUCGGCUCAUCGCAUCCUGGGGCUGUAGUCGGUCCCAAGGGUUGGGCUGUUCGCCCAUUAAAGCGGUACGCGAGCUGGGUUCAGAACGUCGUGAGACAGUUCGGUCCCUAUCCGUCGUGGGCGUAGGAAAUUUGAGAGGAGCUGUCCUUAGUACGAGAGGACCGGGAUGGACACACCGCUGGUGUACCAGUUGUUCUGCCAAGAGCAUCGCUGGGUAGCUAUGUGUGGACGGGAUAAGUGCUGAAAGCAUCUAAGCACGAAGCCCCCCUCAAGAUGAGAUUUCCCAUUACGCAAGUAAGUAAGAUCCCUCAAAGACGAUGAGGUAGAUAGGUUCGGGGUGGAAGCGUGGCGACACGUGCAGCUGACGAAUACUAAUCGAUCGAGGACUUAACCAAA
RNAcentral lists this ribosomal RNA (2814 nucleotides) under Psychrobacillus soli. RNAcentral describes it as "23S ribosomal RNA". It matches the Rfam family "Bacterial large subunit ribosomal RNA". The record is from RNAcentral. Lineage: Bacteria; Bacillati; Bacillota; Bacilli; Caryophanales; Bacillaceae.